GCUCAGUCAGUAUGAACCGAUACAGUAAAGUAAAACUAAUUAUCAGUAGGACAGAGUUCGGUGCCAGUUGAGUAGGGCAAAGGUUGUAGUAAUCGAGAAGAUUCCAGACAAACUUCAGAAUCAAAAAUCAAAGACCGACUUGAAGGUCUUCAACAUAGAAGGCAAUCUGAUCUGAAGGAGGAGAGUUCAUCCAACCAUCAGAGCCAAGAACGAAGAGCUGAUACUGCUUCGGGAUACGAUAUUGCUCCUGGAGCUGUUCAACAUUAGGUUCAGAUAG
This 277-nucleotide long non-coding RNA is filed under the name Elaeis guineensis (African oil palm). RNAcentral's name for it is "long non-coding RNA (EGUI_LNC027636)". Lineage: Eukaryota; Viridiplantae; Streptophyta; Magnoliopsida; Arecales; Arecaceae. The record is from RNAcentral.